Molecule: long non-coding RNA, 992 nt
Filed under: Fragaria vesca (wild strawberry)
Lineage: Eukaryota; Viridiplantae; Streptophyta; Magnoliopsida; Rosales; Rosaceae
Description: long non-coding RNA (FVES_LNC004249)
Source: RNAcentral
UAUCAGCAGCAAAUCAGCAAUUAACAAGGAGAGAUUCAAGCCGAAUUCAAUUUGGAAAACAAGCAAUGUAUUCAGCCACAAUUCCAGUCGAAUUCAAACUCUUAAUGUGCAAGAUAUUCUAGAGAAUUCUAAGGAAUAUUCUCUGAAAAUAUUGUGCUAUUAUUUGUGGCCCUUGGAUCGGAUUUUUAAUCAAUGGUGUGGAGCAAAACCCUAGGUCGACAGGACCACUAUAAAAGGGAGGCUUUUACAUCAGAAAAAGGGUCGUCGUUCAUUCAUGUAGAAACCAGAGAAAACCCUAGCAGCAGCCGAGCCUCCUCUUCUCCACCUGAUAAGACGUAUUUGCACACGCAUCAAUUAACCCUGUCAACAAAUCAGUCGUAGUAUAAAGCAAGCAGGGAUCGUUCUAAACCGGGGAUCCAACUACAGGGUAGAUCCAUCUAAUCUAAUACAAGUGUCAAAAUAAGCACAUAGGUUUAAAGGUUUUAUGAUUUCGGAAAAGACAAGAAUAAUAAAUCCUAAAUUACUUCUAUACAUAUAUACAUGUGAUCAACCAACAUUCAUGCAAACUUAACUAAACAACCAUGUAAGAAUAAAGAAGACAAUCUCUAAUCUCAUUUAAGUCUACACCGUGAGCAAUUAUACAACCUAAAUUUGAUAUGCACAUAAGUUCCUACGUGGUUCCUAUGACAUAGACCUACUUAGAAUUAGACUACGGGUUUCAUUCAACAUCGCGACACAACAAGCUCGGCUACGUGCUCUACUUAUAGGUCACACACACAAACUAAUCAUGCAAUUACGUAUCACAUAAAGAAUUUGAUGUGUUUAAGCACAAGUCCAAAUCAAACAUAGGUAGAAAAUCGGUGAAAACAAAGACAAUGCAACUUAUCAACUACGUGUAUCAAAGUCGAACUUUGGAUGAUUAACACAUGCAAUAUCAACUACUUGUAUCAACUACACAUGAUAAUGGAAUAUAGCACCGAAAAAUCUUAAAG